Molecule: transfer RNA, 46 nt
Filed under: Macaca fascicularis (crab-eating macaque)
Lineage: Eukaryota; Metazoa; Chordata; Mammalia; Primates; Cercopithecidae
Description: partial tRNA-Lys
Source: RNAcentral
CACUGUAUAGCUACUCCAGCAUUAACCUUUUAAGUUAAAGACGGGG